This 871-nucleotide ribosomal RNA is filed under the name Bacillus sp. (in: firmicutes). Its description in RNAcentral is "bacterial SSU rRNA". It matches the Rfam family "Bacterial small subunit ribosomal RNA", at positions 58 to 912 of the family's 1533-position model. The record is from RNAcentral. Lineage: Bacteria; Bacillati; Bacillota; Bacilli; Caryophanales; Bacillaceae.
CAAGUCGAGCGGACAGAAGGGAGCUUGCUCCCGGGAUGUUAGCGGCGGACGGGUGAGUAACACGUGGGUAACCUGCCUGUAAGACUGGGAUAACUCCGGGAAACCGGAGCUAAUACCGGAUAGUUCCUUGAACCGCAUGGUUCAAGGAUGAAAGACGGUUUCGGCUGUCACUUACAGAUGGACCCGCGGCGCAUUAGCUAGUUGGUGGGGUAAUGGCUCACCAAGGCGACGAUGCGUAGCCGACCUGAGAGGGUGAUCGGCCACACUGGGACUGAGACACGGCCCAGACUCCUACGGGAGGCAGCAGUAGGGAAUCUUCCGCAAUGGACGAAAGUCUGACGGAGCAACGCCGCGUGAGUGAUGAAGGUUUUCGGAUCGUAAAGCUCUGUUGUUAGGGAAGAACAAGUGCGAGAGUAACUGCUCGCACCUUGACGGUACCUAACCAGAAAGCCACGGCUAACUACGUGCCAGCAGCCGCGGUAAUACGUAGGUGGCAAGCGUUGUCCGGAAUUAUUGGGCGUAAAGGGCUCGCAGGCGGUUUCUUAAGUCUGAUGUGAAAGCCCCCGGCUCAACCGGGGAGGGUCAUUGGAAACUGGGAAACUUGAGUGCAGAAGAGGAGAGUGGAAUUCCACGUGUAGCGGUGAAAUGCGUAGAGAUGUGGAGGAACACCAGUGGCGAAGGCGACUCUCUGGUCUGUAACUGACGCUGAGGAGCGAAAGCGUGGGGAGCGAACAGGAUUAGAUACCCUGGUAGUCCACGCCGUAACGAUGAGUGCUAAGUGUUAGGGGGUUUCCGCCCCUUAGUGCUGCAGCUAACGCAUUAAGCACUCCGCCUGGGGAGUACGGUCGCAAGACUGAAACUCAAGGAAUUG